This 433-nucleotide ribosomal RNA is filed under the name uncultured bacterium. Its description in RNAcentral is "partial 16S ribosomal RNA". It matches the Rfam family "Bacterial small subunit ribosomal RNA", at positions 29 to 507 of the family's 1533-position model. The record is from RNAcentral.
AACGAACGCUGGCGGCAGGCCUAACACAUGCAAGUCGAGCGCGCCCUUCGGGGUGAGCGGCGGACGGGUGAGUAACGCGUGGGAACGUGCCCUUUUCUACGGAAUAGCCUCGGGAAACUGAGAGUAAUACCGUAUACGCCCUUUGGGGGAAAGAUUUAUCGGAAAAGGAUCGGCCCGCGUUGGAUUAGGUAGUUGGUGGGGUAAUGGCCUACCAAGCCGACGAUCCAUAGCUGGUUUGAGAGGAUGAUCAGCCACACUGGGACUGAGACACGGCCCAGACUCCUACGGGAGGCAGCAGUGGGGAAUCUUAGACAAUGGCGGCAACCCUGAUCUAGCCAUGCCGCGUGAGUGAUGAAGGCCUUAGGGUUGUAAAGCUCUUUCAGCUGGGAAGAUAAUGACGGUACCAGCAGAAGAAGCCCCGGCUAACUCCGUG